AUAAGGACAUUCUUGGUGCAAAUUUCUCAUCACGGUCUAAAUUUUACCGCUGCUCAUUUAUUUUCUAUUAACUCGGGAUUGUUGCAAUCCUUUACAAUAGUUAUCACGACAUAUCUCGUUAUUCUCAUAGAAAUUAAUCCAAAAGUUAUUUAAAUGUAUUAACUUCAGAUAUAAGUCAAAACACAAGCCUCAUGCUGUCUCCGUUUACAAUGUUUCUUGUGUGAAGACCAUAGCUCGGCUAUACCUGACAGAUUACGACCCCAGCAUUAUCUAUACACUCAAGUUAAGGCACAGUAAUAACAGAAAAAUAGACAAAUGUUAUUUUUAUUUCCAUCGACAAUGUGUCUUGUAUCGAGUAAUUAUCAAGCUGUCGAAUCAUUGACAGAAAAAAGAAAUUCCAUCAACAAUGUUUCUUGUACAAUCCACCCUACAAGCUACCGGAUGAUUGACAGAUUACAAACUCAUCAUCAUCUAUUCAUCCAGCUGAGGCACAUAAAGAGAAAAAAAUGUUACAGUACCUUAUAGCGAACACAUAAUUUUUCUGACAUACUAUUUCCAUGGAUAAUGUUUCAUGCAGCAAGCACCCUCCAAGCUAUUGAAUGAUUGGCAGAUGACGAACCCACGAUUAUCUACAUACUUCAAUUAAGACACUAGAAAAAGAAAAUACAAAGAAUAGGGUUACAGUAUCUUGAAACUAAUAAAUAGUCGCCUUCUAUGUACGUUAUCUACUUGCUAUUUCCUUGUAUCAAACUCCCAUAUACUAGCGAAUGAUUGACUGAUUUUGCAAACCCGUCAUUACCCAUGCGCGGAACUUGAGGCACAAUAACGCGA
Long non-coding RNA from Phymastichus coffea, 831 nucleotides. RefSeq lists it as uncharacterized. NCBI's taxonomy places the organism in Eukaryota, Metazoa, Arthropoda, Insecta, Hymenoptera, Eulophidae. The record is from RefSeq and is a predicted model, not a curated record. The transcript has 3 exons.